GAUGAAGAACGUAGCGAAAUGCGAUAAGUAGUGUGAAUUGCAGAAUUCAGUGAAUCAUCGAAUCUUUGAACGCACAUUGCGCCCUUUGGUAUUCCUUAGGGCAUGCCUGUUCGAGCGUCAUUUAAACCUUCAAGCUAAGCUUGGUGUUGGGUGACUGUCCGCUUCACUGCGGACUCGCCUCAAAAUUAUUGGCGGCCGGUACAUUGGCUUCGAGCGCAGCAGAAACGCGAACUCGGGCCCGUCGUAUUGGCUCCCAGAAGCUAUCUUCACAAUUUUGACCUCGGAUCAGGUAGGGAUACCCGCUGAACUUAAGCAUUUCAAUAAGCGGAGGA
This 332-nucleotide unclassified non-coding RNA is filed under the name soil metagenome. RNAcentral describes it as "partial contains 5.8S ribosomal RNA, internal transcribed spacer 2, and large subunit ribosomal RNA". The stretch from base 1 to 120 matches the Rfam family "5.8S ribosomal RNA", at positions 35 to 154 of the family's 154-position model. The record is from RNAcentral.